RNAcentral lists this ribosomal RNA (253 nucleotides) under uncultured bacterium. RNAcentral describes it as "partial 16S ribosomal RNA". It matches the Rfam family "Bacterial small subunit ribosomal RNA", at positions 524 to 776 of the family's 1533-position model. The record is from RNAcentral.
UACGUAGGUGGCGAGCGUUGUCCGGAUUUAUUGGGCGUAAAGCGCGCGCAGGUGGUGCGGUAAGUCUGCCGUGAAAUCUCCCGGCUCAACUGGGAGGGGGCGGUGGAGACUGCCGGACUAGAGGGACUCAGAGGCCGGUGGAACUCCCGGUGUAGUGGUGAAAUGCGUAGAGAUCGUGAGGAACACCAGUGGCGAAGGCGGCCGGCUGGGGGUGCCCUGACGCUGAGGCGCGAAAGCGUGGGGAGCGAACCGG